Molecule: ribosomal RNA, 739 nt
Filed under: uncultured bacterium
Lineage: Bacteria
Description: bacterial SSU rRNA
Rfam family: Bacterial small subunit ribosomal RNA
Source: RNAcentral
GGCCCGCGGCCCAUUAGCUUGUUGGUGAGGUAACGGCUCACCAAGGCAACGAUCUGUAGCUGGUCUGAGAGGACGAUCAGCCACACUGGAACUGAGACACGGUCCAGACUCCUACGGGAGGCAGCAGUGGGGAAUUUUGGACAAUGGGGGCAACCCUGAUCCAGCCAUGCCGCGUGAGUGAAGAAGGCCUUCGGGUUGUAAAGCUCUUUCGGCCGGGAAGAAAUCGCAUGGGUUAAUACCCUGUGCGGAUGACGGUACCGGCAUAAGAAGCACCGGCUAACUACGUGCCAGCAGCCGCGGUAAUACGUAGGGUGCGAGCGUUAAUCGGAAUUACUGGGCGUAAAGCGUGCGCAGGCGGUUUGUUAAGAUAGGCGUGAAAUCCCCGGGCUCAACCUGGGAACUGCGCUUAUGACUGGCAAGCUAGAGUACGGCAGAGGGGGGUGGAAUUCCACGUGUAGCAGUGAAAUGCGUAGAGAUGUGGAGGAACACCAAUGGCGAAGGCAGCCCCCUGGGUCGAUACUGACGCUCAUGCACGAAAGCGUGGGUAGCAAACAGGAUUAGAUACCCUGGUAGUCCACGCCCUAAACGAUGUCAACUAGGUGUUGGAUGGGUAAAACCAUUUAGUACCGGAGCUAACGCGUGAAGUUGACCGCCUGGGGAGUACGGCCGCAAGGUUAAAACUCAAAGGAAUUGACGGGGACCCGCACAAGCGGUGGAUGAUGUGGAUUAAUUCGAUGCA